RNAcentral lists this ribosomal RNA (379 nucleotides) under uncultured eukaryote. Its description in RNAcentral is "partial 18S ribosomal RNA". It matches the Rfam family "Eukaryotic small subunit ribosomal RNA", at positions 592 to 976 of the family's 1831-position model. The record is from RNAcentral.
CAAUAGCGUAUAUUAAAAUUGUUGCGGUUAAAACGCUCGUAGUUGGAUAUCUGUGAGCGGGUUCCGGUCCUUCCCAGUGAAGAUUACACGGAACUCUGCUCGCAUUUGUUCAGGGAGGGUGGAUGCACUUCACUGUGUGACCACAUGAUCUGAAUUUUUACUUUGAGGAAAUGAGAGUGUUCCAAGCAGGCAUCCGCCUUGAAUACGUUAGCAUGGAAUAAUAAGAUAGGAUUACGGUCCGUUUUUAUUGGUUUAGCGGCCGUGAUAAUGAUUAAUAGGAACAGUCGGGGGCAUUUGUAUUUAACUGUCAGAGGUGAAAUUCUUGGAUUUGUUAAAGACAAACUACUGCGAAAGCAUUUGCCAAGGAUGUUUUCAUUGA